GUGAACGCUGGCGGUAGGCCUAACACAUGCAAGUCGAACGGCAGCACAGUAAGAGCUUGCUCUUACGGGUGGCGAGUGGCGGACGGGUGAGGAAUACAUCGGAAUCUACUUUUUCGUGGGGGAUAACGUAGGGAAACUUACGCUAAUACCGCAUACGACCUACGGGUGAAAGCAGGGGAUCUUCGGACCUUGCGCGAUUGAAUGAGCCGAUGUCGGAUUAGCUAGUUGGCGGGGUAAAGGCCCACCAAGGCGACGAUCCGUAGCUGGUCUGAGAGGAUGAUCAGCCACACUGGAGCUGAGACACGGUCCAGACUCCUACGGGAGGCAGCAGUGGGGAAUAUUGGACAAUGGGCGCAAGCCUGAUCCAGCCAUGCCGCGUGGGUGAAGAAGGCCUUCGGGUUGUAAAGCCCUUUUGUUGGGAAAGAAAAGCAGCAGGUUAAUACCCCGCUGUUCUGACGGUACCCAAAGAAUAAGCACCGGCUAACUUCGUG
Molecule: ribosomal RNA, 491 nt
Filed under: uncultured bacterium
Lineage: Bacteria
Description: partial 16S ribosomal RNA
Rfam family: Bacterial small subunit ribosomal RNA
Source: RNAcentral